CCUACGGGGGGCUGCAGUGGGGAAUAUUGGACAAUGGGCGCAAGCCUGAUCCAGCAAUACCGCGUGUGUGAAGAAGGCCUGAGGGUUGUAAAGCCCUUUUAAUCGGGAGGAAUAGCGGUCGGUUAAUACCCGGUCGUCUGACAUUACCGAUAGAAAAAGCACCGGCUAACUCCGUGCCAGCAGCCGCGGUAAUACGGAGGGUGCACGCGGUAAUCGGAAUUACUGGGCGUGGUUGGUGAAGUCGCAGGUGAAAGCCCCGGGCUUAACCUGGGAAAGGCAUUUGAAACUGAUCGACUAGAGUUGGGUAGAGGGGAGUGGAAUUUCAGGUGUAGCGGUGAAAUGCGUAGAUAUCUGAAGGAACACCAGUGGCGAAGGCGGCUCCCUGGACCCAAACUGACGCUGAGGCACGAAAGCGUGGGUAGCAAACAGGAUUAGAUACCCUAGUAGUC
RNAcentral lists this ribosomal RNA (449 nucleotides) under uncultured bacterium. RNAcentral describes it as "partial 16S ribosomal RNA". It matches the Rfam family "Bacterial small subunit ribosomal RNA", at positions 338 to 795 of the family's 1533-position model. The record is from RNAcentral.